GCAUGCUCAAAGCCUGCUUGUGUUCAUUUAGCACAUGCAUCAGCUUGUAAAGUAUCUUUAGCUUUCAUGUGAUUGUUCCAGGAACAGAUGUGCCUGCCAAGCUGGGCCAAGAAAAUGUGCAGUGAGGUUACAAAGAAGAAAAGCUUUAAUUUGCUUGGGUGCAUCUCUAAUUUAACUGCCGACACACUUCAGUCCUGGAGUGGACUUUGUACAUGAAAACUGUGCUGCCAAAAACUGCUGCCUGUUUCUUCUGAGAGUAAAGAUGGACUUCUGGUUGAAACCCAGGCCUUGGGUGUCAGAUGAACUGUGUGUUAUUCCCGGCUUUAUGGCUAUCUUCCUGUGCAAUCUUGAAUAAAUAUCACCUCUCUGUGCUUCAUAUAAUAACUGUCUCACAGAGAUGUCAUAUAGCUAAGUUAAUCAGUACCUGGAAAGU
Long non-coding RNA from Mauremys reevesii (Reeves's turtle), 433 nucleotides. RefSeq lists it as uncharacterized. NCBI's taxonomy places the organism in Eukaryota, Metazoa, Chordata, Testudines, Geoemydidae. The transcript is spliced from 3 exons. The record is from RefSeq and is a predicted model, not a curated record.